ACCGCGAUACCUCAGCUGGUGGAGCAUCUGCCCGGUAUGCGGAGGGUCGCCGGUUCGAUUCCGGCUCGCGGCG
RNAcentral lists this transfer RNA (73 nucleotides) under Fasciola gigantica. It matches the Rfam family "tRNA". From Rfam's summary of the family: Transfer RNA (tRNA) molecules are approximately 80 nucleotides in length. Their secondary structure includes four short double-helical elements and three loops (D, anti-codon, and T loops). The record is from Rfam by way of RNAcentral. Lineage: Eukaryota; Metazoa; Platyhelminthes; Trematoda; Plagiorchiida; Fasciolidae.